This 301-nucleotide ribosomal RNA is filed under the name uncultured bacterium. Its description in RNAcentral is "partial 16S ribosomal RNA". It matches the Rfam family "Bacterial small subunit ribosomal RNA", at positions 509 to 807 of the family's 1533-position model. The record is from RNAcentral.
CAGCCGCCGCGGUAAAACAGAGGGUGCAAGCGUUAAUCGGAAUUACUGGGCGUAAAGCGCGCGUAGGUGGUUCGCCAAGUUGGAUGUGAAAUCCCCGGGCUCAACCUGGGAACUGCAUCCAAAACUGGCGAGCUAGAGUAUGGUAGAGGGUGGUGGAAUUUCCUGUGUAGCGGUGAAAUGCGUAGAUAUAGGAAGGAACAUCAGUGGCGAGGGCGACUAUCUGGGCCAACACUGACACUGAGGCACGAAAGCGUGGGGAGCAAACAGGAUUAGAUACCCCCGUAGUCCCUGUCUCUUAUAC